UUGUAGUUGAUGAGAACCUAUGACUCAGAAUCUCCAUGCUAACAGCUGUACUUUUACCAGCAUCCCGUCCCAUGAUCAAAGCCGAUUAAGACUGCACAAUCAACUUAUAAUUGCCAUUUUGUUUUGUUUGUUCUUAGAGUUAGCAACACAAGCUGCAUCAAACCAGGCGUUCAUGACUUGACCUAAAGUGACGCACCAGAGGUUCCAAAAGCAGAAACAUGCAACCCUGAAGAGCAGCCCACACCACAUCCCAGUGAUUUUCUGCGAGUGUAUCCAAAUAGCCUGAGGCCACAUGAAAGCUACAGAUCAAUGCAAUCAGUGAACACACCAACAACUUACAUCACCCGUACACAAUGUGGAAACAUGGAAAUGAGGGGGAUGACUCACUGACCAUUUAAGCCCUCCCGGACAGGGGAAGAGAGCAACAUCUGACCGACAGUAAACGAGCAGAGGAUCAAUUGGUUUAUACUGCUUCAAGCUCUGAGUUCAUGCACAUUAAGAGACCAGCUCCAGGUAACACACACAGCGUCGUGCGUACAAUUAGCCUGCUGACCUUUGAGGAGAUGGGUACAAAUGGGAGAGUUGUCGUUGUUGAAACACAAAUUGUUCACUGAGUGCAGAGUGGUACUCACUGCUAAGAGCUUCACCCCACAUACCGAAGAUAAUUAUCUCACCACACACAAAUAGAUGUGAUUAGUAGGAUGGGAAGGGGAUAACUUCUCAUUUACUCAUGCAUCACACGUCUAUGUCUCUGGCAUGUCUUGCUUACAGUGUCCAGGCCUUUGGUAUUGCCAGUAACAAGCAAUAUUUCGUAAACUUUAUAUGGGUAGUUAGACCCACUGUAUCAACAAUCUCAACACAACUGUUGAGACUGAAGCUGCUCCGUAUAAGAAACUAAUUACUCCUCAAGAAUUCAUUUGAUCUGUUGGCUGUUUUUGCUUAGUUUU
This is a long non-coding RNA of Acanthopagrus latus (yellowfin seabream), 947 nucleotides long. RefSeq lists it as uncharacterized. The transcript has 3 exons. NCBI's taxonomy places the organism in Eukaryota, Metazoa, Chordata, Actinopteri, Spariformes, Sparidae. The record is from RefSeq and is a predicted model, not a curated record.